RNAcentral lists this microRNA (21 nucleotides) under Tribolium castaneum (red flour beetle). Its description in RNAcentral is "tca-miR-219-5p". Its record names the gene tca-miR-219-5p. RNAcentral also lists the same sequence under 24 other names. Lineage: Eukaryota; Metazoa; Arthropoda; Insecta; Coleoptera; Tenebrionidae. The record is from miRBase by way of RNAcentral.
UGAUUGUCCAAACGCAAUUCU